UUCUGCCCUAAAGGGCGGUAACUUCUGCUCCAUGUCAAAAUAAAUAGCCGCAGUAUUCUAACUGUGCUAAGGUAGCAUAAUAAUUUGUCUUUUAAUUAAAGACUGGUAUAAACGAAGAUACGACGAAAAAGCUUUUUUAAAGUGUUACAUUGAAUUUGAUAUUUGCUUCAAAAAGAGCAACUUUUUAAGAAGACGAUAAGACCCUAUGAAACUUUACCUUUUAGAUCCCCUUCAACCUAGCACAAAGAAGUUGAAUUUAAAAAGUUAAGCUGGGGCGGCAUUAAAUCAUACCUUUAUAAAAAAAACAUCAAUUAAUGACUAGUAAGAUCUUAUUUAGAGUUAGAACAAGUUACUUUAGGGAUAACAGCACAAUUCUUUCAAAGAGACCUUAUCGAAGAAAGAGACUUGUGACCUCGAUGUUGAAUUGAAGGGCCAGAUUUGUGCAGAAAUAAAUCUAGGAGGUCUGUUCGACCUUUUAUCCUUC
RNAcentral lists this ribosomal RNA (484 nucleotides) under Eugerdella theodori. Its description in RNAcentral is "partial 16S ribosomal RNA". It matches the Rfam family "Bacterial large subunit ribosomal RNA", at positions 1890 to 2597 of the family's 2925-position model. The record is from RNAcentral. Lineage: Eukaryota; Metazoa; Arthropoda; Malacostraca; Isopoda; Desmosomatidae.